Long non-coding RNA from Pan troglodytes (chimpanzee), 3087 nucleotides. RefSeq lists it as uncharacterized. Lineage: Eukaryota; Metazoa; Chordata; Mammalia; Primates; Hominidae. The record is from RefSeq and is a predicted model, not a curated record. The transcript has 9 exons.
GGCCAGAGAACUCGCGCCGCUUUUGAAUCCCCAUCCUGCGGACCCCGCCCGCCUCGCCUUCUCCCUCUGGUUGGCGAGCUCCUUUCUGCGCCUUCAGGCAUUUUUGCUGAGGCUUUUGUCUGCGCACGUGCGGGGAGCACCUGGUGGAAGAGGGGUCCGAGGACUGUUUGGUGUGGCUUUCUGAUUCCGCUUCUGAGCCUGAGGGAAGAACCACCAUCCUUCAUUCAUUCAUUCAGCAAAUAUUUGAGCACUUACCACGCGUCGGGCACUGAUUUACAGCACAGAGUGAAACUAACUCCCUGCCCUUGCCUUGCUGAGCUUGCAUUCCAUCUUGGAAGGAGGAACAGACAAUAAUUAGCAAAAGUACAAUGACUGAUGAAGUUUCGCUCUUGUUGCCCAGGCUGGAGUGCAGUGGCAUGAUCUCACUGCAACCUCCACCUCCUGGGUUCAAGUAAUUCUCCUGCCUCAGCCUCCCGAGUAGCUGUGAUUACAGGUGCCCACCACCAUGCCCAGGAUCGUGCUGUGCCGGGAGAACCUGGGCCUCGGGGUUUCUGUCUGAGUCCGUCUCUUCGGUAGAAUCUUCAUGCUGAGGAAAUGAACCCACCUGUUUGUGCCCUGCUGCACCUCCCUGUGACAGACUGCCACGUUUACUACCUGAGACCGUCACUAUGACAGUUACUACUGUUACCACUUGAGACCGUCAUUAUGAGACUGAAAGAAGGAGGACAAAGAGGUAUAUACUGCGUUGAUCACGACCUUCACUCUUUCGGCCUGCAACACCUCCCCUCUUCCUGGGUCCGGGCCCCAGACCCCGCCACGCCUCCUCUUAACCUACAUGAUCGGGGCCAGGCAGAGGAAAAGAAGAGCCGUGAUGCCGAUUCCCAGAAACGCUCCGUUGGAGAAUGCCGUUGAGAUGAGUCCCUUCUUAUCUGCACACGGAGAGGGCAAGGAAACCCUGCCACACCCCGGCCCAGGUGUUAGGACUUCCCAUUGUGUUUUCCUGUCUACAUACAGAUGCCACGGGUCUGCUGUGUCCCUCCAAGCUCCUGCUCCAACCACAGGACCCUACUCUUUGCCCCACUCAGCUUCUCCUCCAAGAACCUUGGCAUCCAGGCGGCCCCCUAACCUGGCAGCUGCAGGAUGGAUCCACUCUGGGCCCCAUGGACGUUCCAGGCCUCACAGCUGAGCCUGAGGCCAGAGCUGAGCCCUCCAUGGAGGCUCAGGGAGCUGUUGGCCCAGGGCCCGGCUGAGCUGGGGGUGACCUCGAAGGAGUCCUGGCUGCUGUUCCCCUCCAGCAGCUCCUCCCCAAGCCACCAGCGCAGAGAGGGAGCCGGGCUGGCUUGGGAGGAGCAGCUGCAGCGCAGACCCUCAGCCUCCCAGGAGCAGGAGGGGCCCAGCAGCUUCGGGGGGUCUGAGGGGAGGGAGGACAGGACUCAGCAGGGGCCCCUUCCUGGGACCCAGGUGCCCCCCUUUCCCCCACUCACAGUGCACGGAGAGGCUGAGAGAGACGUGCUGGGAGCCCAGCGGGUGCUGAGCGUGGCAGGUGUAGCGCCCUGAAUCCCCGGCCUUCACCCCGGGCAGCUCCAGCCCCAGGGGUCUGGGGCCCCAGGGAUGGGACAAGGAGAGGACUCUGUCCUGCAGGACCCAGCUCAGCGUGGCAGGGGGCUGGCUGUCAGCAGCACAGAGGAGCCGCAGGAACUGGCCUUUUUGGGCUUCCAGGGAAAAGAAAGUGGGACUAUCCCGGGAAGACAAGUGACAACCAGCGCCAGGGCUCACGUGUGUGGACCAGACGCCAUUCCCAUCCCUCUCCCAGGGCUGAGCCGGCAUCCUGGGACCCCACAGCUUCCUCUCCCUGGAUGCUCCUGAGCUGGGAGCCGCUCACUGUCCCACUGGGCUCCUCCACCUCCUCACCCACCGGGCCUGUCUGCAUGCCCCACCCUCCCAGGCCACACUCACAGGCCACGCGGAGUCGGACGGUCCUCUGUGCACUCACACCCUUUCUGGAGAAGUCCACAUGGCAGCUUCCUCUCUCCACCCGAAAGAAGUACUGUGACUCAUCCUGCAUCUGCGCGUCUCUGAUCACCAAGGAGCAGUUCCCCUUGGCGGGAUCCCCAGUGAGCUGGAAUCGGCCCCGGGUGCUCAUUUCCACCUCUCGACUCUGGUGGUUUGUGGCCACAGGAGCACCCUUGGUUGUCUCAGUCACUGCUUUGAACCAGUAGCCAUAAGCUGGGGUAGACCCUGUCCAGUCCUGUCGGGGGUAGGAGAAAGAGCAGGGCACAGAGAUGCAUAGGCCCUCCGGCACCAUCACCGACUCCUGCACUCGUAUCCAGAAUCUCUCAUCCAUAGCCUGGGACCCUGUGGGGAGACAGAGGCUCAACCUGCAACCCCAGCCCUAGCUCCGCCCCAGGUCCUUUCCGGCCCUUGGCCCACUCACCGCCCAGCAGCGAGGACAGCAGCAGUGGCAGUAGCAUCUCCGCAUAGGAGGCGCAGGACCUGCCUGAGACAGGCCUAUUCUCUGGUCGUGCUGUGAGUGGCUCAGGGCUCUUGGCAGAAGGGGAAGCCGAAGGCGGAAGCUGAGCCCUGGGGCCUGAUGCAUGAAAUGAGCUUCAGAUGCUGAGGUCACAGAACUCCUUUGCCUUCCCCUACACUCUCCAGCCCACCUUGCCCAGUUGUCCUGUGGGUCUCCUGGGGGCCCAGCCUGGCCUUGGGCUUGUUGAGCUGGUCCUUCCAGAGCUCCCUGUGUAGGAGGAGAGGGCAGGCUUGCGUCUAUCCUGGGGGCCUGGCUGGGGGUGGGGUAGUGGGGUGGGGGCUCUCCCUCUGGGCCCUGGGUCAUCGGAAAAGCAGAAGUGAGAAGUCCACAGUGAGCUACCCUUAUCUGGGCCACUGGUGGUGGAGGUGGUGGGUACAGGGGAAGGGACAGUUACUGGAGGGGGCUGGUCUUGUCAGGUAAAAUGUAGGAUGCCUGGUUAAAGCUUUCACAGAAAAUGUAAAGUAUUUUAUUUUAUGUUUUUUAGUAUAAGUAUGUCGAAAAUGCUGCAUGGGAUAUACUUAUACCAGAAAGCAAAAUAAAUUUAUCUGAAAUUCAAA